GUUUCAGAUGUCUUAGACCAUGAUUGGCUGAUUACUACAGAAAUGACAGAAGUUCAUGGCAGAGGAAAGCAACUUAGCUCAUGACAGCUGAAAAGAAAGGCAGAAACUCCAAAUGUCUUUCAGCCAUUACCAGAUUUUUAUCCCAGAGUCACAAAGAAAUAUCAGUGGCAUCCCUAAGAUGGUAUCUGUUGACCCAAAUUUAUUCACCCAAGGGACCCUGUUAAGUAUUCAUAACAUCUGCUAUCAUCAAGAAGAAGUGAAGAGCAACUUUCUACUUUGCCGCUGAGAAACAUUUCAGAGAGAAAUACUAACAAAUAUCAAAUAGGUGUAUUAACUUUUCAAAAUACUACUUUAUUAAAUGAAUUUCAUAGGUUUUACGUAUCACCAAUAAGCUGCCACAAAUAUUUAUGUUCAAGUCUUUGAAAAGAUGUAUCAAUUCAUUCUUUCAUUUUCUUUGGCUAAACUUGGACUGAAAUGAUUGGAUCAUUCAAGUAUAAGUUUAACUUCAACUGGCAAAUUGUAAAAAUGGUUGUACUAUAUGUUUAAGCAAUUGUUGUGUCAAUUAGUUUUUGAAGUAGAAAAUAAAUGAGUACAGAAAGGAGAA
This is a non-coding RNA of Ictidomys tridecemlineatus (thirteen-lined ground squirrel), 604 nucleotides long. Lineage: Eukaryota; Metazoa; Chordata; Mammalia; Rodentia; Sciuridae. The record is from RefSeq and is a predicted model, not a curated record.